GAUGAAGAACGUAGCGAAAUGCGAUAGGUAAUGUGAAUUGCAGAAUUCAGUGAAUCAUCGAAUCUUUGAACGCACAUUGCGCCCCCUGGUAUUCCGGGGGGCAUGCCUGUUCGAGCGUCAUUACAACCCUCAAGCUCUGCUUGGUAUUGGGCCCCGCCAGUUCUGGCGGGCCCUAAAGUCAGUGGCGGUGCCUUCCGGCUCCGAGCGUAGUAAUUCUUCUCGCUCUGGAGACCCGGUUGUGUGCUUGCCAACAACCCCCAAUUUUUUAAGGUUGACCUCGGAUCAGGUAGGGAUACCCGCUGAACUUAAGCAUAUCAAUAAGCGGAGGA
Molecule: unclassified non-coding RNA, 329 nt
Filed under: soil metagenome
Description: partial contains 5.8S ribosomal RNA, internal transcribed spacer 2, and large subunit ribosomal RNA
Rfam family: 5.8S ribosomal RNA (bases 1-120)
Source: RNAcentral